GUGCCAGCAGCCGCGGUAAUUCCAGCUCCAAUAGCGUAUAUUAAAGUUGUUGCGGUUAAAAAGCUCGUAGUCGAACAUGGGGUUCGGCUAGACGGUCGGCCGCAAGGUCUGUACUGUUCUGAUUGAGCUCAAAAAGCUUGGGGAAUCUUAGUGCUCUUAACUGAGUGCUCUGGGGAACUGGGACUUUUACUGUGAAGAAAUUAGAGUGUUCAAAGCAAGCAUACGCUUGAAUACAUUAGCAUGGAAUAAUAAAAUAUGACUGUGGUCUUAUUUUGUUGGUUUCCAAGGCCAAAGUAAUGAUUAAAAGGAACAGUUGGGGGCAUUAGUAUUUCAUUGUCAGAGGUGAAAUUCUUGGACCAAUGAAAGACUGACUACUGCGAAAGCAUUUGCCAAGGAUGUUUUCAUUGAUCAAGAACGAAAGUUAAGGGAUCGAAGACGAUCAGAUACCGUCGUAGUCUUAACUAUAAACGAUGCCAACUAUGGCUCGGACGAGUAUAUGUAAAUGUCUCGUCCGGUACGUCGUGAGAAAUCAAAGUUUUUGGGUUCUGGGGGGAGUAUGGUCGCAAGGCUGAAACUUAAAGGGAUUGACGGAAGGGCACCACCAGGAGUGGAGCCUGCGGCUUAAUUUGACUCAACACGGGAAACCUCACCAGGUUUAGACAUGGUUAGGAUUGACAGAUUGAGAGCUCUUUCAUGAUUUUAUGGGUGGUGGUGCAUGGCCGUUCUUAGUUGGUGGAGUGAUUUGUCUGGUUAAUUCCGAUAACGAACGAGACCUUACCCUGCUAAAUAGUGGCUAGAACAUUUCGUUCUCAGCACACUUCUUAGAGGGACUAUGGAUGCAAAUCCAUGGAAGUUUGAGGCAAUAACAGGUCUGUGAUGCCCUUCGUUAUCCUGGGCCGCACGCGCGCUACACUGACGAAGAUAAAGAGUAUUCACCUUGGCCGUAAGGUCUGGGUAAUCUUGAAAACUUCGUCGUGAUGGGGACUGUCCAUUGCAAUUAUUGGACAUGAACGAGGAAUUCCUAGUAAGCGCAAGUCAUCAGCUUGCGCUGAUUACGUCCCUGCCCUUUGUACACACCGCCCGUCGCUACUACCGAUUGAACGGCUUAGUGAGACCUCCGGAUUGGGUGACAGAGAGUCUAACGACUCAAGUCCUCUGAGAAGCUGGUCAAACUUGGUCGUUUAGAGGAAGUAAAAGUCGUAACAAGGUAACCGUAGGUGAACCUGCGGUUGGAUCAUUA
RNAcentral lists this ribosomal RNA (1240 nucleotides) under Synchytrium stachydis. Its description in RNAcentral is "SSU rRNA". It matches the Rfam family "Eukaryotic small subunit ribosomal RNA", at positions 564 to 1831 of the family's 1831-position model. Lineage: Eukaryota; Fungi; Chytridiomycota; Chytridiomycetes; Synchytriales; Synchytriaceae. The record is from RNAcentral.